RNAcentral lists this ribosomal RNA (160 nucleotides) under uncultured Clostridium sp. Its description in RNAcentral is "partial 16S ribosomal RNA". It matches the Rfam family "Bacterial small subunit ribosomal RNA", at positions 309 to 497 of the family's 1533-position model. The record is from RNAcentral. Lineage: Bacteria; Bacillati; Bacillota; Clostridia; Eubacteriales; Clostridiaceae.
CGGAGUGGGCUAGGCACUUCCUACGGGAGGCAGCAGUGGGGAAUAUUCCACAAUGGGGGAAACCCUGAUGGAGCAACGCCGCGUGAAGGAUGAAGGUCUUCGGAUUGUAAACUUCUGUUAUGAGGAAGAAUAUGACGUAACCUCAGAAGAAGCCCCAGGC